CAGAGUUCAUGCCCUUCGGGGUAGAUCUCCCACCCUAUGUAUUUAUACCUUUGUUGCUUUGGCAGACCGCCAGGCUUCGGCCAGGCUACCGGCUUCGGCUGGUAAGCGUCUGCCAGAGGACCAAACUCUGAAUGUUAGUGUCGUCUGAGUACUAUAUAAUAGUUA
This 165-nucleotide unclassified non-coding RNA is filed under the name uncultured Helotiales. Its description in RNAcentral is "sequence contains ITS1". The record is from RNAcentral. Lineage: Eukaryota; Fungi; Ascomycota; Leotiomycetes; Helotiales.